AUUUUUUGUGGAAUUUUUUGGGGAUAUUUUUGGGAUAUUUCAGGGAAUUUUUUGGGAUUUUUUUGCGGAAUUUUUGGGGGGAUUUUCUGUGGAUGUUUUUGUAUUUUUUGUGAUUUUUUGGGAAUUUUUUUUAAUUUUUGGGGAACCUUUGGGGACUUUUUGGGGAAUUUUUGGGGAAUUUUUUUGGGGGAUUUUUUUGUAUUUUUUGGGAUUUUUGGUGGAAUUUUUGGGCAUUUUUUUGGGAAUAUUUUAGGGAUUUUUAUGGGAUUUUUUGGGAAUUUUUUGGAGAUUUUUUGUGGGAUUUUUGGGGGAUUUUUUGGGGAUUUUUGGGGGUAUUUUUGGGGAUUUUUGGAGGGUAUUUUUGGGGAUUUUUUGGGGAAUUUUUGGGAUUUUUUGGGGAUUUUUUUGGGAUUUUUUGGGAUUUUUUGGGGAUUUUUUUGGGAAUUUUUGGGAUUUUUUUGGGAAUUUUUUGGGAAAUUUUGGAAACAUUUUUGGGUAUUUUUGGGGGAAUUUUUGGGGGAAUUUUUUGGGAAUUUUUUUGGGUUUAACUGGGCCAAGGCGCCCUCUUGUGGACAUCGAGGGAGUUGCAGAAAACAGCCCCGAAAAUUCCCAAAAUUUGGGAAUUUAUUGGGGAAAAAUUGGGGGAAAAUCAGGAAAUUUUAUGAGAAUUUUUUGGGAUUUUUAGGGAAUUAUUUGGGUAUUUUUUUGGGAUUUUUAUGAGGAUUUUUUUUGAUUUUUAAUGGGGUUUUUAAUAGGAUUUUAAUGGGAAUUUUUGGGGGAUUAUUUUUUAAUUUUAUGGGAUUUAAUCAGAUUUUAAUGGGAAUUUUUUUUUGAUUUUUAUGGGAAUUCUAAUGGGAUUUUUUGGGGGAUUUUUAUCAGAUUUUAUGGGAUUUUUUAGGGAUUUUUUUGGGUAUUUUAAUGGGAAUUUUCUGGGAUUUUUGGGGGGAUUUUAAUGGGAAUUUUCUGGGAUUUUGGGGGGGAUUUUAAUGGGAAUUUAAUGGGAUUUUUAUGGGAAUUUUAGGGGAUUUUUUGGGGAUUUUAAUGAGAAUUUUAUGGGAAUUUUGGGGGAUUUUUAAANUAAUGGGGGAUUUCAAAGGGGGAUUUUAAUGGGGGAAUUUAAUGGGGAAUCUAAUGGGGAAUUUCAAUGGAAUUUUACUGGGACUUUAAUGGGGAAUUGCAAUGGGAUUUUAAUGGAAUUUAAAUGGGGAAUUUCAAUGGGAUUUUAGUGGGAUUUUAAUGGGGAAUUUCAAUGGGGUUUUAAUGGGGAAUUUCAAUGGGGGAUUUUAAUGGGAAUUUCAAUGGGAUUUUAAUGGGGGAUUUUAAUGGGGAAUUUCAAUGGGGAAUUUCAAUGGGAUUUUAAUGGGGGAUUUUAAUGGGGAAUUUCAAUGGGAUUGCAAUGGGAAUUUUCAAUGGGGGAUUUUAAUGGGAAUUUUCAAUGGUGGAUUUUAAUGGGGAAUUUUAAUGGGGGAUUUCAAUGGGGAAUUUUAAUGGGGGAUUUUAAUGGGAAUUUUCAAAGGGGGAUUUUAAUGGGAUUUUAAUGGGAAUUUUCAAUGGUGGAUUUUAAUGGGGAAUUUCAAUGGGAUUUUAAUGGGGAAUUUUAAUGGAGGAUUUCAAUGGGAUUUUAAUGGGGGAUUUCAACGGGAUUUUAAUGGGAAUUUUCAAUGGGGGAUUUUAAUGGGGGAUUUUAAUGGAGAAUUUCAAUGGGAUUUUAAUGGGGAAU
Molecule: long non-coding RNA, 1720 nt
Filed under: Zonotrichia albicollis (white-throated sparrow)
Lineage: Eukaryota; Metazoa; Chordata; Aves; Passeriformes; Passerellidae
Description: lncRNA (ENSZALG00000006237.1)
Source: RNAcentral